UCCAAAUCACCUACGCAGUGGCAGCACACAAAAUCUCCCCCAACAGUGGCGGCGGCGGCGGCCAGAUCCCUUCUCCAAGCUGGGUGAGUAUGCAGGGUGGAGUUGUUGUACCAUUUCUCCGAUGGCUCCUUGUCGUUGUGUCGCUGGAGGCGUUGUUUGAGGCAGAUCAGAUCAUACUUCGUUUGAUCUGAAUCUCCGGCAUCAGUCGGUUGGUUGCCUCCUCUCCCUCUCUUCUCUCAAGCUCCAAGAUCAGCUCAUGUACUCCCCCCCUCGUUGGCAGCAAGCCGGUUGCCAGCUUCCUGGCUUCAACACGGUGAUUCAUUUUCCUGUGGCUGUGGCUGCAGGGUCAGGUGGUGCUGUGAUGUGUGCCUCCUCUAGCAUCUUUAAGUUCUGCCUUGAGCCCUCGACCUUGCACACACAGACUGCUGGGUGGUCGCGACUGCGCGCCAAACUGAUUGUCUCCGCUCCCUGUGUGACGAGAUGCCCCUCAGGCCGCCAGGAGGUGGCCGUUGAGCUUGACGUGGCUGCCAGCUGGUUGGCAGGGUUGAUUCCUUGAUCGGCGAUGCACAGCAACGCACAAGAAACUUGAUGAGCAAAAAGCACUAGAACUGGAGGCAAAGGCUGGACGCAAGCUAGCAAAAUUAAUGCAGUUUUUUAAUGGCAAUGCUUCUUUAGCAGUGAUUAGUUUAGUCAUUCAUACUUAGUCUUACCCAUGUUUGGAUUUCUUGCAUGAUAUGUGAUGUAGCAGAAGCUGCUAGCGAAAUCAAAUAUACUACAGAUUUCAUGCAAUAGAUUUUAUAAAAUUUAGGGAGGAGGCAUCAACGAAGUGAAGAUUUGAAUUUGAUA
This is a long non-coding RNA of Triticum dicoccoides, 846 nucleotides long. RefSeq lists it as uncharacterized. The transcript has 3 exons. The record is from RefSeq and is a predicted model, not a curated record. NCBI's taxonomy places the organism in Eukaryota, Viridiplantae, Streptophyta, Magnoliopsida, Poales, Poaceae.